RNAcentral lists this ribosomal RNA (504 nucleotides) under uncultured bacterium. RNAcentral describes it as "bacterial SSU rRNA". It matches the Rfam family "Bacterial small subunit ribosomal RNA", at positions 24 to 518 of the family's 1533-position model. The record is from RNAcentral.
UCAGGAUGAACGCUAGCUACAGGCUUAACACAUGCAAGUCGCGGGGCAGCACUGUGGUGCUGCAACCACUGGUGGCGACCGGCGCACGGGUGAGUAACGCGUAUCCAACCUGCCCUGCAGUGGGGAACAGCCCGGCGAAAGUCGGAUUAAUGCCCCAUGGCGUCCUCGGCGGGCAUCUAAUGAGGACUAAAGGCUUCGGCCGCUGCGGGAUGGGGAUGCGUAGGAUUAGGCAGGCGGCGGGGCGACGGCCCACCGCGCCGACGAUCCUUAGGGGUCUGAGAGGAAGGUCCCCCACACUGGUACUGAGACACGGACCAGACUCCUACGGGAGGCAGCAGUGAGGAAUAUUGGUCAAUGGGCGCGAGCCUGAACCAGCCAAGUAGCGUGCAGGAUGACGGCCCUACGGGUUGUAAACUGCUUUUAUGCGGGGAUAAAGUGGGCUACGCGUAGCCCUUUGCAGGUACCGCAUGAAUAAGGACCGGCUAAUUCCGUGCCAGCCGCCGC